AUUCAUUCUUAUCUCUUGCAUCAGUACUGAGUGUGAGCAUUCUAUAUCAUAUUCUCUAGUCACAUUCAAGCAACGGAGUACAUUCAUAUCUCUGGAGGUAUCGACUCUGUUCUGCUCUGAUUUGAAAUUCUUAUAGUUUCCUUUUCAAUGGAAGUUGUAGAUAAUGGGUUUGUGUUUAUGUUUAUGUUUGUAUUUGCAGUAACUUAACGUUUCAGAGUCUUUUUCAAAUAAUGGAUCACUGGUUUCUUUCUCGCCAAUUCUCCAUUCUCCCUCUGCGUAUUAGUUAAAUCAGGUAAAGUAAUCUUUUAUCAUUUUCCACUUCCAAAUUACAAACAUCAUCUUUAUUUCACAUCCCAUUAUCAAUUAUGCUUCAUAUAUGUAGAACAUGAACAUUUUUAACAUCAUCUGAAUAAUAAAUGGAUCAGUGAAAUACAAGAUGCUUUCUCAAAUUAUGCUUACAUUCACUAACUUUAUGAAGGUAUAUGUGUAAUGUGAAAAAGAGUGAUAUUUAAUAUAUAAAUGGAAAAUUUGUGUAAAAUUUUAAAAGGAGUUUGGUCUCAGUUUAAUUUCAGAAAACAUAACAGUAUCAGUUUACUUUAAACGGAGCUAAUGUCCUUUCUAAGAGAGAGUAAAAGUGUAAUUAGCUCAAAAGUUUAUUUAAAUCUAAUUAAUUUUUGUACACGAUGAGUUAUUUGAAAUUAAAUGAGUAUUUUUAAUUUUUAAUUUUUUUUCUCUCUUUGAGUUUAUUAGUAAAGAAAAAAAUAAGACAAACAAAAUUAUAAUCAUAAUAAGUUAAACACAAGGAUUUAAGUAAUGAAAUCUAGUUCAAUUUCAUUAAACUAAUUUAAUAAUUAUAUAUAUAUAUCAUAGGACAUUGGAAUGGUAAACAGAUAGGUUUGAUACAUAUCUAACUAAUUUUGCUAAGAUAGAUUUUUAACAACUUUAAAAUCAUAUUAAGGUAGUGGUAUUUAAUCCUAAUUUAAUUUUAUAAUAUUAAUUUAGUAAGGUAAGAUUUGUAUUCGGUUAUGUAUUAUAAUUUGUACAUAUUUUUAGUUAAUGUGGAAUUUCCAACACACCUUAUGUUAAGGACAUCAAGCAUUCACAUAUUAAAAAAGUAGCUGAGAAUGUGAGUUUUGUAUAGUUAAUGUGAGAUUUUCAACAUACUUCCUUACAUCGAAGACAUCAAACAUGGAAAUAGAGGAGGACUAGAUAACUAAUGACACAAUCGACAUUACUAAUCUUGCUAGAAUAGACUAUUAGUGGCUUUGGUAAUGUGAAAAACACAUGGCAAAAUUUAAAGAUUUUUUAAUAACUACAUGAUAUAGAAAGCCCAAAUAGGAUUUUGAAAUUAUGCGAUUCGAUUCUCACAUAUAUUAAAGAAAGAGUAUGCGUACCUUUUUUCACGAGAGAUCACCUGUUAAUGCUCUAGAGAUUUGAUUUAAUGAAUGACUCUAAGUUUUCUUUAGUGAUUUUGAAUCUCUAUUUUACAAUCUUCUUUCUUGAUGGAUGUAACACGAAGAAACAUAUGGGAAAGCUUGCUUUGACUAGUACCAAGUUUCACCCACUUCCAGUUCGUAGUAUUAUUCAUCACUCCUAGUAUCCCUAGACACUCCCUAUAUCCUUUAGAUACACUUGUUUAGUUGAGUUUCACCCACUCCUGGUUUCCACUAGACACAACUGUCUAGUUACUAUUUAACUUCCAAGUUAAACGUCAUAGUUUCACACAUUCCCGGUUUCCACUAGGCACACUUGUCUAGUUACUGUUUAACUCCUCAAAGUUAAACGUAAAGUGUUUUAAUUCUCUUCAGAAUUUACAAUCAAACGAUUGGUUACAAGUUCUUAGACAAUAACUCUCGUAGAGAGGAUAUAUGUUCAGUACAAAUCAUGUAAUAGACUCACUGAGUGUUUUCUCUCUUCUUUUUUCUUAUAACAGUAAGCUUAUAUAUCAAUGAAACUUGAGUGUUUAUUAUCUUGAGCUUUUCUCUCUCUCUGAUAUUCUCUUUUUAGUACGUGCAUUUUUUGAGCUUUUCUUUCGAUGUUUCUUCACAUGAGCUCUUUCUUUUUAUAUGCUACUCUCGUGAUUCUCUUUUUGAAUCAUCUUCUAUUUAAAGGCUUCUCAAAAAGAUAUUCGUUAGACAGAGCUUUUGUCUUGAUCCUUGAGUCUUCUUAGUCUUGUUGUAUGAAGCAGCUGUUGGGAUAAACUUAAAUUUUAGAUUUAUUACUUUAUUAGGUUUGGGUAUAGUAAUAUUUGUUUUGAUUUGAUAGAGAUAAAAGAGGAAUGGAUAGUUAUGAUUUUGUGUUUACUAGGUAGAAUAUUAUUUUAUGAUAGAAUAAGGAGAUUUUAUUUUUAGGUAAGUUGAUAUUUUAUUGUCAGUUUUUAUUAUUUGUACUUGGCCCAAGACCCGAUUUGUACCUAUUUAAAGGUUGCUAAGGUUUAAUGAAAAUAACCCACAAUGGAUUGAAUUGAAGAGUAAAAUUAUUUGUGUGGGUCAUAUGAGUGUGUAUAAUGAGAUUUUUCCAACAGCAGCUGAUGGUUAAAGUCAACUUGUCAGGACAGACUUGCUUUUUCAAUACUUUGACAAAAGUAGGUGAUACGAUUUUCUUGGCAGGACUUCUGAUGCAGAGAACAUUCUAUGAAUGUCUUCUUUGUUCUUAACGUCUACUUUUGAUUUGUAUAGGAUGAAGCAGGUUGAUGUGUGUAAUAGGCAAUAUACACAAAGUAGAGUAGAUAUGCAUACAACAAAUAUGUCUUUUCUUUUAUAAUUUUUGUUAAUUUUAAACAUUGAGCAUUU
RNAcentral lists this long non-coding RNA (2792 nucleotides) under Vigna radiata. RNAcentral's name for it is "long non-coding RNA (VRAD_LNC011299)". Lineage: Eukaryota; Viridiplantae; Streptophyta; Magnoliopsida; Fabales; Fabaceae. The record is from RNAcentral.